This 253-nucleotide ribosomal RNA is filed under the name uncultured bacterium. Its description in RNAcentral is "partial 16S ribosomal RNA". It matches the Rfam family "Bacterial small subunit ribosomal RNA", at positions 524 to 776 of the family's 1533-position model. The record is from RNAcentral.
UACGUAGGGGGCAAGCGUUAUCCGGAUUUACUGGGUGUAAAGGGAGCGUAGACGGCCAGACAAGUCUGAAGUGAAAAUCCAGCGCUUAACGUUGGAAGUGCUUUGGAAACUGCCGGGCUAGAGUGCAGGAGGGGCAGGCGGAAUUCCUAGUGUAGCGGUGAAAUGCGUAGAUAUUAGGAGGAACACCGGUGGCGAAGGCGGCCUGCUGGACUGCAACUGACGUUGAGGCCCGAAAGCGUGGGGAGCAAACAGG